RNAcentral lists this ribosomal RNA (301 nucleotides) under uncultured bacterium. Its description in RNAcentral is "partial 16S ribosomal RNA". It matches the Rfam family "Bacterial small subunit ribosomal RNA", at positions 509 to 807 of the family's 1533-position model. The record is from RNAcentral.
CAGCCGCCGCGGUAAUACGGAGGGUGCAAGCGUUAAUCGGAAUUACUGGGCGUAAAGCGCACGCAGGCGGUCUGACAAGUCAGAUGUGAAAUCCCCGGGCUUAACCUGGGAACUGCAUUUGAAACUGUCAGGCUGGAGUCUUGUAGAGGGGGGUGGAAUUCCAGGUGUAGCGGUGAAAUGCGUAGAGAUCUGGAGGAAUACCGGUGGCGAAGGCGGCCCCCUGGACAAAGACUGACGCUCAGGUGCGAAAGCGUGGGGAGCAAACAGGAUUAGAUACCCACGUAGUCCCUGUCUCUUAUAC